AAACUAACAAGGAUUCCCCUAGUAACGGCGAGUGAAGAGGGAAGAGCCCAAGAUUGAAAGCUGGCGUCUUCGGCGUCCGCAUUGUAAUCUCAAGAAGUGUUUUCCGCUUCGGGACCAAGCCUAAGUCCCCUGGAAAGGGGCAUCAUAGAGGGUGAUAAUCCCGUACAUGGCUUGGAGCGCCCGUAGCUUUGUGAUACACUUUCUAAGAGUCGAGUUGUUUGGGAAUGCAGCUCAAAAUGGGUGGUAAAUGCCAUCUAAGGCUAAAUAUUGGGGAGAGACCGAUAGCGAACAAGUACAGUGAUGGAAAGAUGAAAAGAACUUUGAAAAGAGAGUUAAACAGUACGUGAAAUUGCCAAAAGGGAAGGGUAGGAGGUCAGAGAUGCGGCCUAGGAUUCAGCCUUGCUUUUGCUUGGUGUUUUUCCUAGAUUGCAGGCCAACGUCGGUUUUGGGCACUGGAGAAGGGUGGAAGGAACGUGGCACCUCUCGGGGUGUGUUAUAGCCUUCCACUGGAUACAGCGACCGAGACCGAGGACAGCAGCGUACUCGCAAGAGCGGGCCUUCGGGCACCUUUACGCUUAGGGCGUUGGCAUAAUGGCCCUCUACCAC
Molecule: ribosomal RNA, 606 nt
Filed under: Pseudozyma tsukubaensis
Lineage: Eukaryota; Fungi; Basidiomycota; Ustilaginomycetes; Ustilaginales; Ustilaginaceae
Description: eukaryotic LSU rRNA
Rfam family: Eukaryotic large subunit ribosomal RNA
Source: RNAcentral